This 413-nucleotide ribosomal RNA is filed under the name Microhyla butleri. RNAcentral describes it as "partial large subunit ribosomal RNA". The stretch from base 163 to 413 matches the Rfam family "Bacterial large subunit ribosomal RNA", at positions 569 to 910 of the family's 2925-position model. The record is from RNAcentral. Lineage: Eukaryota; Metazoa; Chordata; Amphibia; Anura; Microhylidae.
CCAAAAACUUAGCUCUCUUCCUCAAAUGAAAUUUUUUUAAACUAACAACUUUAUAAAACAUUUUACACUUCAAGUAAAGGCGAUUGAAAAAUGUCUAGAAGCUAUAGAAACCAGUACCGCAAGGGAAAAGUGAAAUAAUAAUGAAAAUUUUAAGCACAAAACAGCAGAGCCUAAACCUCGUACCUUUUGCAUCAUGGUUUAACGAGUCUAACCAAGCAAAACGCACCUUAAGUUUGACUUCCCGAAACUAGACGAGCUACUUAAGAACAGCCUUAUGGGCCAACCCGUCUCUGUUGCAAAAGAGUGGGACGAUUUUUAAGUAGAGGUGACAAACCUACCGAGUUUAGAGAUAGCUGGUUAUUCAGGAAAAGGAUCUAAGUCCUACCUUAAAUUUUCUGUAUCUUCUAAUACAC